This 497-nucleotide ribosomal RNA is filed under the name uncultured bacterium. Its description in RNAcentral is "partial 16S ribosomal RNA". It matches the Rfam family "Bacterial small subunit ribosomal RNA", at positions 28 to 507 of the family's 1533-position model. The record is from RNAcentral.
GACGAACGCUGGCGGCGUGCCUAAUACAUGCAAGUUGAGCGCUGAAGGUUGGUACUUGUACCAACUGGAUGAGCAGCGAACGGGUGAGUAACGCGUGGGGAAUCUGCCUUUGAGCGGGGGACAACAUGUGGAAACGAAUGCUAAUACCGCAUAAAAACUUUAAACACAAGUUUUAAGUUUGAAAGAUGCAAUUGCAUCACUCAAAGAUGAUCCCGCGUUGUAUUAGCUAGUUGGUGAGGUAAAGGCUCACCAAGGCGAUGAUACAUAGCCGACCUGAGAGGGUGAUCGGCCACAUUGGGACGGAGACACGGCCCAAACGGCUACGGGAGGCAGCAGUAGGGAAUCGUCGGCAAGGGACGAAAGUCUGACCGAGCAACGCCGCGUGAGUGAAGAAGGUUGUCGGAUCGUAAAACUCGGUUGGUAGAGAAGAACGUUGGUGAGAGUGGAAAGCUCAUCAAGUGACGGUAACUACUCAGAAAGGGACGGCUAACUACGUG